UACGGAGGGUGCAAGCGUUAUCCGGAUUUACUGGGCGUAAAGGGCGCAUAGGCGGCCACCGCAAGUCGACUGUGAAAUCUCCGGGCUUAACCCGGAAAGGUCAGCCGAUACUGCGGGGCUAGAGUGCAGAAGGGGCAACUGGAAUUCUCGGUGUAGCGGUGAAAUGCGUAGAUAUCGAGAGGAACACCUGCGGCGAAGGCGGGUUGCUGGGCUGACACUGACGCUGAUGCACGAAAGCGUGGGGAGCAAACAGG
Molecule: ribosomal RNA, 254 nt
Filed under: uncultured bacterium
Lineage: Bacteria
Description: partial 16S ribosomal RNA
Rfam family: Bacterial small subunit ribosomal RNA
Source: RNAcentral